GCCUGGCUGGCUCAGUCUGUAGAGCAUGGGACUCAUGACCUCAGGGUUGUAAGUUUGAGCCCUACGUUAGGUG
Molecule: transfer RNA, 73 nt
Filed under: Ailuropoda melanoleuca (giant panda)
Lineage: Eukaryota; Metazoa; Chordata; Mammalia; Carnivora; Ursidae
Rfam family: tRNA
About the family: Transfer RNA (tRNA) molecules are approximately 80 nucleotides in length.
Source: Rfam by way of RNAcentral